RNAcentral lists this long non-coding RNA (913 nucleotides) under Vigna radiata. Its description in RNAcentral is "long non-coding RNA (VRAD_LNC006494)". The record is from RNAcentral. Lineage: Eukaryota; Viridiplantae; Streptophyta; Magnoliopsida; Fabales; Fabaceae.
AAGAAACUAAAAUGCAUACUGCAAUUGUUCUCAUACGGCACUUGGUUGCAAAUUACUGUUACAUGGGCUGUUUGUGGUGUUUCAAGCUUCUGUUGAACUAAAAUCCAGAGUGAAUACUGUAAAUCCUGAUAUUGCUUUUGCAAUUGGUAGUAUAACUGGAAAGUUCAUGGCAUCUGUUUUCAUCAGGCAGUAGGCCGAACUGCCUAAGUUCAUUGCUAAAGCUGUUUUUUGUGUGUGUCAAAUCUGGUUGAGUAUUUAGUUCAUUACCAACCAUCUAAAAUUGUUGUUCUGCUAUUUGAGCAAGUUUUCCAUACUGUUUUAAGUUCAAUUCUGGUGCAUUCAUUCAGUUUAAUCUGNUGUUUCACAAUUUGGNUGNUAGAGUGAUUGAGUGAAAAUGCAUAAGGAACUNCACAUANCAUNAUCUGAUAUAAGCUGAAUCUGUGCAAAACUUUUCGUCAAACAAGAUUCAAAUCAUCAUUAAAACUUGUUGGAGCAAAGAGGAAUUGACUUUAUUUGGAUUUGUGCAUUUUCACUAGUCAACUAGUUCAUUUUUCUUAAACUCUAACCAGUCCAACUCAAGUGCUGCAUAAUUGUGUUAAGUCCAGCUGAAGCGUGUUUAAAUUCUAUGAAAAUGUUGUAGCAAAAGUUGGAUUCCAUAUAAAAGAAAUAUAGCAAUCAAAAGAAAAUGAAUUGACAGUGACGAAAAAAGCAUUGAAUUCGUGCAACAGGCUGUUUUGGAAAGUCUGCAGAUUGUAAAAUUUAAUACUAGCUGGACUGUCUUUGAGGCAUAUUAACAAACAGUUUGUGGAAUUUGCAUUUUAUCAUUGACUGCACCUCUUUUGUUGAUUGAGUCAUUUGUUUGUGUUUUAAAUAUGUUCUAGAGCUAUUCCUAGGUUCUGUUUGUGUGCCAGCU